UAUACCUCCUAAUGCUGGGGUUAAAGGCUUGUGAUCCCAGGUGCUGGAAUCAAAAGGUUUCAGAUUGUGGCAUCUCCGGAUUCCAUUUCAGAAGAGAUACACACUCUAAAUUACUUCUGUCAGCAAUAGGACAUAUCCUUCGUGAAAUAUGUAAGUCGAACCACUGCUGAUCCAAGGGUGAGCUUCCAGCUUCAGAGGUGGAGUUCUUCCAUUAUAUCAUUCCCAAGGGCAGGCAGAAGCUGAAAAUGUACACGCUGUUAAUGGAACAAAUUUGAUAAAGGAGACCUUGCUGCUAGAACAAAUGCAUAGACCAUGACUACUUUUCACUACAAGCUCAUUGAGAAAACAAAAGUAUUUGUGAUGCCCUGUGCUGGGCCUGGAGAGAUUGCUCAGUGGUUAAGAGCAUUUGGCUCUUCUUUUAGAGGACCUCAGUGUGGUUCCCUGCACCUACAUGGGUUGGCUGACAACUGCCUGUAACUCUAGCUCCAGGGAUCUGAUGCCCUCUUCUGGGUUCCAGUCAUUUGCAUUUGCACUCAAGGAAUACCUCCUCUGCCCCUGCCUGCCUAUAAUUUAGAAUGAGACAUGCUGACAUGCUAUGCACACACAUGUCCUUGCAGAAGGUCAAGUGCUCUGCUCUCCAUUAGCUAACCUUGACCACGUAUGGGGCAGAUUUAGACGGGAACUGUUCAUCCUGGACAUUAUGCAGAAUGUCUUCAAGUCAGCAUACUAAUGUCAGAACUUCUCAUGGACUUUCCUGUCUCCCAAUCUCAGGGAGGACACAUGGGUUAAAGAAUAGAAAUGUAAUCUAAUCAGUUUGCAAAAGCUGAAUGACAAGGGUGAGAACUUUUCAGAAGAGUUAGGGAACUUUGUGUGGUAGACGUGUAAGCAAAAACUUGUGGAAGGAAGCUCUGCCUGUGGCUGUGAAUGAUGAGUGACUGACAGCAGAGAGUGACCAGCUCAUUGGGACCUCAGUACUGUGGAGAGACGAAUGCUGUGGGGCCAGAGGCUAGGACAGCGGCCGUUCCUCCCCACUAUUGAACUAACAUCUUGCCGCAGUAGAUUAAACCAACAAUCAUAGAUGAUACUGACUUAGCUUUCUGGGUUGGUAGAAGCUAGUUUACCGCUAAGAAGUCAUCAGAUAGCUUGUAGGACAGGUCCCACACCACAGCACCUGCCUCUGAUGUUCCUACCAAUAUAUUUUAAACUUGCCUUGAGUUACGAUUUUCUUUGUUCUGUAAGACUGCAUUUAAAAGCUUCGUGAAACUGCUUCCAAGAUGGAACAUUGAAUUCGGGGAACCUGAGUCUGUUCCUGGGCCAUGGUCACUCAAAAUGGAACUAGUGAUCUUAUGCAUGUGGCUGGAACUGAAGCUUCUUUCCUUUGGAGUUGGCUAAACUAUCUCAGCUGUGAGAAAGCCUAAAGCUAAGACUUUAACAAAUUUGAUGGGACACAUGAUUCAUCUGAUUUUUUACUAUGUUUUUUAAAAUCUCACCUAUAAA
Molecule: long non-coding RNA, 1497 nt
Organism: Mesocricetus auratus (golden hamster)
Lineage: Eukaryota; Metazoa; Chordata; Mammalia; Rodentia; Cricetidae
Exons: 2
Source: RefSeq, a predicted model, not a curated record